This 63-nucleotide transfer RNA is filed under the name Vignadula atrata. Its description in RNAcentral is "tRNA-Asp". Lineage: Eukaryota; Metazoa; Mollusca; Bivalvia; Mytilida; Modiolidae. The record is from RNAcentral.
UGGGAAGUAGUUAAUUUAUAAUGGCGGCUUGUCGAGCCGAGGUUGUUUUAGGAACCUUUCUAU